UACGUAGGUGGCAAGCGUUGUCCGGAUUUACUGGGCGUAAAGAGCGCGCAGGCGGUUGUUUAAGUCGAAUGUGAAAGCCCCCGGCUCAACUGGGGAGGGUCAUUCGAUACUGCCGUGCUUGAGGACUGGAGAGGAGACUGGAAUUUACGGUGUAGCGGUGAAAUGCGUAGAUAUCGUAAGGAAGACCAGUGGCGAAGGCGGGUCUCUGGACAGUUCCUGACGCUGAGGCACGAAGGUCAGGGGAGCAAACGGG
This 253-nucleotide ribosomal RNA is filed under the name uncultured bacterium. RNAcentral describes it as "partial 16S ribosomal RNA". It matches the Rfam family "Bacterial small subunit ribosomal RNA", at positions 524 to 776 of the family's 1533-position model. The record is from RNAcentral.